AACGAACGCUGGCGGCAUGCCUAACACAUGCAAGUCGAACGAGACCUUCGGGUCUAGUGGCGCUCGGGUGCGUAACGCGUGGGAACCUGCCCUUAGGUUCGGUAUCAUUCAGAGAAAUUUGAGCUAAUACCGGUUGAUGUCUUCGGACCAAAGAUUUAUCGCCUUUGGGUGGGCCCGCGUUGGUUUCGCUAGUUGGUGGUGUAAUGGCCUACCAAGGCGACGAUCCAUAGCUGGUCUGUGAGGAUGAUUAGCCACACUGGGACUGAGACACGGCCCAGACUGGUACGGGAGGGAGCAGUGGGGAAUACAGGACGAUGGGCGAAGGCCUGAUCCCGCAAGGCCGGGUAAGUGAUGAAGGCGGUAGGGAAGUAAAGCUCUUUUACCCGAGGUGAUAAUGACGGUAACGGGAGAAUAAGCACCGGCUAACUCCGUG
This 433-nucleotide ribosomal RNA is filed under the name uncultured bacterium. Its description in RNAcentral is "partial 16S ribosomal RNA". It matches the Rfam family "Bacterial small subunit ribosomal RNA", at positions 29 to 507 of the family's 1533-position model. The record is from RNAcentral.